UACGGAGGGUGCAAGCGUUGUCCGGAUUUAUUGGGUUUAAAGGGUGCGUAGGCGGCUUAUUAAGUCAGUGGUGAAAUCCGACAGCUUAACUGUUGAAAUGCCAUUGAUACUGAUGAGCUUGAGUGCAGACGAGGUAGGCGGAAUUGAUAGUGUAGCGGUGAAAUGCAUAGAUACUAUCAGGAACACCGAUUGCGAAGGCAGCUUGCUAGGCUGCAACUGACGCUGAGGCACGAAAGCGUGGGGAUCAAACAGG
Molecule: ribosomal RNA, 253 nt
Filed under: uncultured bacterium
Lineage: Bacteria
Description: partial 16S ribosomal RNA
Rfam family: Bacterial small subunit ribosomal RNA
Source: RNAcentral